This 229-nucleotide ribosomal RNA is filed under the name uncultured bacterium. Its description in RNAcentral is "partial 16S ribosomal RNA". It matches the Rfam family "Bacterial small subunit ribosomal RNA", at positions 568 to 796 of the family's 1533-position model. The record is from RNAcentral.
CGCGUAGGCGGUCUGAUAAGUCAGUUGUGAAAGCCCGGGGCUCAACCCCGGAAGUGCAAUUGAAACUGUCAGGCUUGAGUAUGGUAGAGGGAAGUGGAAUUCCAGGUGUAGCGGUGAAAUGCGUAGAUAUCUGGAGGAACACCGGUGGCGAAGGCGACUUCCUGGACCAAUACUGACGCUGAGGCGCGAAGGUGUGGGUAGCAAACAGGAUUAGAUACCCUGGUAGUCC